GGGGGGAGGCCGGAUCCUGGGCUGUGUCCCGGCGCCCUGUGCUCCGGAGCUUGCGCUGUUGGAUUCGCGCUCCCGGGGCCGCGCAGCCCCCU
Molecule: non-coding RNA, 92 nt
Organism: Canis lupus familiaris (dog)
Lineage: Eukaryota; Metazoa; Chordata; Mammalia; Carnivora; Canidae
Source: Rfam